RNAcentral lists this ribosomal RNA (480 nucleotides) under uncultured bacterium. Its description in RNAcentral is "partial 16S ribosomal RNA". It matches the Rfam family "Bacterial small subunit ribosomal RNA", at positions 355 to 820 of the family's 1533-position model. The record is from RNAcentral.
UGGGGAAUAUUGCACAAUGGGCGCAAGCCUGAUGCAGCCAUGCCGCGUGUGUGAAGAAGGCCUUCGGGUUGUAAAGCACUUUCAGCGAGGAGGAAGGUGGUGAGCUUAAUACGCUCAUCAAUUGACGUUACUCGCAGAAGAAGCACCGGCUAACUCCGUGCCAGCAGCCGCGGUAAUACGGAGGGUGCAAGCGUUAAUCGGAAUUACUGGGCGUAAAGCGCACGCAGGCGGUUUGUUAAGUCAGAUGUGAAAUCCCCGGGCUCAACCUGGGAACUGCAUUUGAAACUGGCAAGCUAGAGUCUCGUAGAGGGGGGUAGAAUUCCAGGUGUAGCGGUGAAAAUGCGUAGAGAUCUGGAGGAAUACCGGUGGCGAAAGGCGGCCCCCCUGGACGAAGACUGACGCUCAGGUGCGAAAAGCGUGGGGGAGCAAAACAGGAUUAGAUACCCUGGUAGUCCACGCUGUAAAACGAUGUCGAUUUUU